This 460-nucleotide ribosomal RNA is filed under the name uncultured bacterium. Its description in RNAcentral is "partial 16S ribosomal RNA". It matches the Rfam family "Bacterial small subunit ribosomal RNA", at positions 338 to 795 of the family's 1533-position model. The record is from RNAcentral.
CCUACGGGAGGCAGCAGUGAGGAAUAUUGGUCAAUGGGCACAAGCCUGAAACAGCCAAGUAGCGUGCAGGAUGACUGCCCUACGGGUUGUAAACUGCUUUUGUAAGAGAGUAAAGUGAGGCACGUGUGCCUUUUUGUAUGUACUUUAUGAAUAAGGAUCGGCUAACUCCGUGCCAGCAGCCGCGGUAAUACGGAGGAUCCGAGCGUUAUCCGGAUUUAUUGGGUUUAAAGGGUGCGUAGAUGGUCUGUUAAGUCAGUGGUGAAAGUCUGAGGCUCAACUGUAAAAUUGCCACUGAUACUGGCAGGCUAGAGUGUAGUUGCGGUAGGCGGAAUGCGUGGUGUAGCGGUGAAAUGCUUAGAUAUCACGAAGAACACCGAUUGCGAAGGCAGCUUACCAAACUGCUACUGACAUUGAGGCUCGAAAGUGUGGGUAUCAAACAGGAUUAGAUACCCUGGUAGUC